Apodemus sylvaticus (European woodmouse) is the source of this 292-nucleotide long non-coding RNA. RefSeq lists it as uncharacterized. Lineage: Eukaryota; Metazoa; Chordata; Mammalia; Rodentia; Muridae. The transcript is spliced from 3 exons. The record is from RefSeq and is a predicted model, not a curated record.
CACCCUGUUCUCAGAAUGCUGGCAUCGAGGCUCACACACCGCCCCUCUCGGCUCUUCUCAUCCCUGCUCCCAGGUCCAGGAAUCAUUGUGGAAGAGACAGAUGGACAAUCCAGUAGCAGAAUUCUGAAGCGGAAACAGUAUUUGCCAGGGAUGUAGCCCCUGAAAGGCCACCUUACUCCAGCAGUUUGUUCUACAUCCAAGUACAUGAAGUGUACUUAGUGGAUUGAAAAACAAAAUGAGCCUGUGAAGUGUGGGAAGAGUAGUGAUGACGAACAGGGGAGAAGUUAGAAAA